Molecule: unclassified non-coding RNA, 296 nt
Filed under: uncultured fungus
Lineage: Eukaryota; Fungi
Description: sequence contains ITS1
Source: RNAcentral
AUGGACUACUGGGGUUUCUAAUCCUGUUUGCUCCCCACGCUUUCGCACCUCAGCGUCAAUACUUGUCCAGUCAGUCGCCUUCGCCACUGGUGUUCUUCCGAAUAUCUACGAAUUUCACCUCUACACUCGGAAUUCCACUGACCUCUCCAAGAUUCCAGUCAUCUAGUUUCAAAGGCAGUUCCGGGGUUGAGCCCCGGGCUUUCACCUCUGACUUGAAUAACCGCCUACGUGCGCUUUACGCCCAGUAAUUCCGAACAACGCUAGCUCCCUCCGUAUUACCGCGGCGGCUGGCACCA